GACACCCUAGCGUGGGGACUCUGAGGAUGGCCCAGGGGCUCCCCGCUGCCCCCAGACCUUCAGGUCCUCUUGGGGCUUCUGGCCGGCUGCUUAGACGUUCUUGCAGAGAGAUGAGGUCGGAGCUGUGCCUGAUCCCGCCGGGCCCCUCCGGGUCACAGAUGCGUGGCGCUCGUUCUGGGCACCGGGUCCCCCGCGAGAAUGCGUGCCCAGGGUGCACCUGCAGUGGGCGGGCUCAGCUGUGGAGCCAGCUGUGCUCAGCGCAGGGGAGGAAACGGGAUGGGACCCCAGCCGUGGAGGGAGACCGUCUGCCAGGGCUCAGUCCCGUGACCAGAGGUUGACAUCUGGCCAGGACGAGGCUCAGGUGGGGGCUGGGGUCAAGUGGAGGCUGAGCCGCACGGUUUCUGCUUUGCUCCGGAGCACGUAUCACUCAAGCGAAUUCCUUCGAGUGUCCGAUUCCUGGGAGGGGGGACAGCUGGGCUGGCCCAGCUUGGGGCACCCUGAGGGAGGUGGCCCCCCUCCACGAGUCGAUCGUCGGUGGCCAACGGGAGAGUGGGGGUCCCUCCAGGCCGAGGGGACCUGCACCGUGUGGGGGGCAAUUCAGAGAGGAGGCACCAGCGGCAGCCAGGCCGCCCUUUCAGUCGUGUGCAUUUUCAGAAGCAUCAGGAUGUCCUCCCUGGGCGGGGCUGCCCCUGGCGUUUCUGACCCCAAACCUGCCUUGUGUCAUCGUCAUCGGACGGAGUCCUCGCCCCGGAGUUACCAGUCCGGCCUGGAGUCUCCAGAUGUGACCGAAAAGGCAUCACAGUUCACGACAGCCGUGGGAAACACCAAGCAGGCUCUCGGACCAGAUACUAUGGUAAGAAGUCUUCAGAAGACAGAAAGCAAGGGGAGCGGAACCAAAGGAAGCACCAAGUGUGGAUGCCACGUCUAGGGUGCCUCCGCCACAACAGGCUGGCGGGGCGGCCGGCACGGCGACCGUCGGGCGUGUGGAGGCCGCUGCCCCAUCCCGGUCUCCAGCUGGGAGCGACGGCGUGGCCGUGUGAACUUGAGCAGCAGGGCCUCUGCAGUAAUUGUUUAAGAAGAACUGAGUGUAGUCGACACAAACGUUCCAGGAAUGUCAGGUGCCCAGCACGGUGGUGGGACGCGGCCCCACGGCUCCACACGGCCACCUGCCACCACAUGACGGGAUGACAAUACCAGGG
Felis catus (domestic cat) is the source of this 1199-nucleotide long non-coding RNA. RefSeq lists it as uncharacterized. NCBI's taxonomy places the organism in Eukaryota, Metazoa, Chordata, Mammalia, Carnivora, Felidae. The record is from RefSeq and is a predicted model, not a curated record. The transcript has 3 exons.